GUGCCAGCAGCCGCGGUAAUACGAAGGGGGCUAGCGUUGCUCGGAAUUACUGGGCGUAAAGGGCGCGUAGGCGGCGCAGUUAGUCAGGCGUGAAAUUCCUGGGCUCAACCUGGGGACUGCGCUUGAUACGGCUGUGCUAGAGGAUGGAAGAGGCUCGCGGAAUUCCCAGUGUAGAGGUGAAAUUCGUAGAUAUUGGGAAGAACACCGGUGGCGAAGGCGGCGAGCUGGUCCAUUACUGACGCUGAGGCGCGACAGCGUGGGGAGCAAACAGGAUUAGAAACCCGGGUAGUCC
Molecule: ribosomal RNA, 292 nt
Filed under: uncultured bacterium
Lineage: Bacteria
Description: partial 16S ribosomal RNA
Rfam family: Bacterial small subunit ribosomal RNA
Source: RNAcentral